This 243-nucleotide long non-coding RNA is filed under the name Mytilus galloprovincialis (Mediterranean mussel). Lineage: Eukaryota; Metazoa; Mollusca; Bivalvia; Mytilida; Mytilidae. The record is from RNAcentral.
CAAAUCUAUCUAUAGAAAACAAAUAUGUACUGCUUAUAUCCUUUAUGACAUAUAAAAAAGACGGUGGAUACCCAACUGGACAAUCGAAGAUCAUAAGCGAAAUGACCUUGACUACACAUUGUCAAAAAUCAAGGGUCAAUGAUUUUACAAUCAAUUCCGCCAAACUCUACAUAGAAAACAAACUAAUAAGUAACAUGAAGCAGAACGAAAUGGGGGUGAUUUCAGAUGAUAAGAAAAGGCUAG